ACUUAAUAAAGUUGUCCUUCUCAUUAACAUCGAUAUCUGGAAAGAAAGAAGAAGGUGAAGAGGUGCAGCAAAUAAACUUUCUGCAUUGGACAAAGUUGAUCGACCAAUCAGGUAUAACACAGUAGGAGGAUGAAUGGGGAUAACCAGACUAUUUUUACCAUGAAUGAAAUCUAGUGCAAAUAUAGUAUACUAGUCAAGAAUUACAUCCGUUUUAACAGCAACGGUGAGGAUCGUUUAAACAAUUUUUUAAUAUGACAUUGAAACUCGCAGUGUUGGAAUUGUUUCAUCUAACCACUAUGUAGUUUUUUUUUGUCAUAUCAGUUUGAAUACUUCUCGACUUAAUAUGUAGUUCAUACCGAUUUUCUAGAAAUGACCGGAAAAUUGAAAAUCUAUUAAUAUGUACACAAAACAAAGGAAAUUUAAACGUUAAAAUAGGUAAUUCUCCGAAUUGAUUAACCGGGAAGUAUUAUUACACUUCGGAGAAUCGAUCAAUGGAACAGGUUGGGUGUCAUUUUGUACAGGACAGUAGAUGAAAGAUGUUUAUAUGGACGCGGGAUUUCAAUUGGACAUUACCGAGGAUAAGAAGCGGAAUGCCCCUUGAAAUCCUGUAUUUGUAUGAGCGCUACAUCAGGUAAUAAAUUUUCAUGAAACACCGAAUUUAGAAGAUCAUUUGUACAACAUUCGCUUUACUUGACCUCCAGACAACGCAUCUACAUAAAGAUUGAUUAAGGAAACAACGUUGCUUUCUAGGAGUGAAAUGUCAAUUACAUUCUAAUUAUCUAGGAUCAAGGAUUCUCACUAUACAAAUCCUUGCUAGGAUGUAUCAUUCCUUUCUAAUUUCUUGAAUGUCUUUUUUUUUUUAGAUUAAAAUUAUGACAAAAAAUCGAAGGAAGUAAAAAAAAUUAUUAUUAUUUUA
Molecule: long non-coding RNA, 916 nt
Organism: Mytilus californianus (California mussel)
Lineage: Eukaryota; Metazoa; Mollusca; Bivalvia; Mytilida; Mytilidae
Exons: 2
Source: RefSeq, a predicted model, not a curated record